GAACAUGGCUUAUCAGCUUGGUCACCACAUUGAGCUGCAGUGUCUUUUGAUAGCUCAAGCUUAUUAGCAUCACGGAUUUUCAAUUUCAGGACUAAUCUCCUUUUGUUCUCGCCGUUUGUUGGAGGUUCAGUGGAUUUAGCAGGCACAUCGAUAGCUCCACCCGUUGGAUAGCUCCGCGGUGUGCUUGUCAGUUUGUCAUCAGAUGCAAUACUCUGAUCGCUUGACCAACAUUCUAAUGAUUCAGUUUCCAAUGAAUCAUCCUCAGAGCUAGCUUCGUCUUCAUCAUCUGAAGAAAUGUCAUAUUGCUGAUACACAAUUUCAGGAUGUGCAGCUCCACGGUGAGAUCUGAAUGACUUUGGUUUAGUUGACUU
RNAcentral lists this unclassified non-coding RNA (371 nucleotides) under Hevea brasiliensis (rubber tree). Lineage: Eukaryota; Viridiplantae; Streptophyta; Magnoliopsida; Malpighiales; Euphorbiaceae. The record is from RNAcentral.